UACGUAGGGGGCGAGCGUUGUCCGGAUUUAUUGGGCGUAAAGAGCUCGUAGGCGGCUUGGCAAGUCGGGUGUGAAACCUCCAGGCUCAACCUGGAGACGCCACUCGAUACUGCCAUGGCUAGAGUCCGGUAGGGGACCACGGAAUUCCUGGUGUAGCGGUGAAAUGCGUAGAUAUCGUGAGGAAGACCAGUGGCGAAGGCGAAUCUCUGGACAGAUCCUGACGCUGAGGCACGAAGGCUAGGGGAGCAAACGGG
Molecule: ribosomal RNA, 254 nt
Filed under: uncultured bacterium
Lineage: Bacteria
Description: partial 16S ribosomal RNA
Rfam family: Bacterial small subunit ribosomal RNA
Source: RNAcentral